RNAcentral lists this ribosomal RNA (407 nucleotides) under uncultured bacterium. Its description in RNAcentral is "partial 16S ribosomal RNA". It matches the Rfam family "Bacterial small subunit ribosomal RNA", at positions 28 to 526 of the family's 1533-position model. The record is from RNAcentral.
GACGAACGCUGGCGGCGUGCCUAAUACAUGCAAGUAGAACGCAGUUGCGAACGGGUGAGUAACGCGUAGGUAACUGCCUGGUAGCGGGGGAUAACUAUUGGACACGAUAGCUAAUACCGCAUACUACCAGAUGGACCUGCGUUGUAUUAGUUAGUUGGUGGGGUAACGGCUCACCAAGGCAACGAUUCAUAGCCGGCCUGGGAGGGGUGUCGGCCACACUGGGAAUGGGGCACGGGCCAGACUCCUACGGGAAGCAGCAGUAGGGAAUCUUCGGCAAUGGGGGGAACCCUGGACGAGCAAAGCCGCGUGAGUGAAGAAGGUUUUCGGAUCGUAAAGCUCUGUUGUUAAGGAAGCGGUACUUAACCAGAAAGGGACGGCUAACUACGUGCCAGCAGCCGCGGUAAUUC